This 66-nucleotide transfer RNA is filed under the name marine eukaryotic metagenome. It matches the Rfam family "tRNA". From Rfam's summary of the family: Transfer RNA (tRNA) molecules are approximately 80 nucleotides in length. Their secondary structure includes four short double-helical elements and three loops (D, anti-codon, and T loops). Further hydrogen bonds mediate the characteristic L-shaped molecular structure. tRNAs have two regions of fundamental functional importance: the anti-codon, which is responsible for specific mRNA codon recognition, and the 3' end, to which the tRNAs corresponding amino acid is attached (by aminoacyl-tRNA synthetases). tRNAs cope with the degeneracy of the genetic code in two manners: having more than one tRNA (with a specific anti-codon) for a particular amino acid; and 'wobble' base-pairing, i.e. permitting non-standard base-pairing at the 3rd anti-codon position. The record is from RNAcentral.
CCUGUAGCUCAGUGGAUAGAGCGACUGGCUUCUAACCAGUGGGUCGGGGGUUCGAAUCCUCCCAGG